Molecule: microRNA precursor, 62 nt
Filed under: Podarcis lilfordi (Lilford's wall lizard)
Lineage: Eukaryota; Metazoa; Chordata; Lepidosauria; Squamata; Lacertidae
Source: RNAcentral
GUGUGUGCGCGCACACACACACACAUAUAUAUACACGUGUGUGUGUGUGUGUGUGCAUACAU